GACGAACGCUGGCGGCGUGCUUAACACAUGCAAGUCGAACGGUAAGGCUCCAGCUUGCUGGGGUACACGAGUGGCGAACGGGUGAGUAACACGUGGGUGACCUGCCCUGCACUUCGGGAUAAGCCUGGGAAACUGGGUCUAAUACCGGAUAGGACCGCACCGUGAGGGUGUGGUGGAAAGUUUUUUCGGUGUGGGAUGGGCCCGCGGCCUAUCAGCUUGUUGGUGGGGUAAUGGCCUACCAAGGCGGCGACGGGUAGCCGGCCUGAGAGGGUGGACGGCCACAUUGGGACUGAGACACGGCCCAGACUCCUACGGGAGGCAGCAGUGGGGAAUAUUGCACAAUGGGCGGAAGCCUGAUGCAGCGACGCCGCGUGGGGGAUGACGGCCUUCGGGUUGUAAACUCCUUUCACCAUCGACGAAGGGUUUCUGACGGUAGAUGGAGAAGAAGCACCGGCUAACUACGUGCCAGCAGCCGCGGUAAUACGUAGGGUGCGAGCGUUGUCCGGAAUUACUGGGCGUAAAGAGCUCGUAGGUGGUUUGUCGCGUCGUCUGUGAAAUUCCGGGGCUUAACUCCGGGCGUGCAGGCGAUACGGGCAUAACUUGAGUACUGUAGGGGAGACUGGAAUUCCUGGUGUAGCGGUGAAAUGCGCAGAUAUCAGGAGGAACACCGGUGGCGAAGGCGGGUCUCUGGGCAGUAACUGACGCUGAGGAGCGAAAGCAUGGGGAGCGAACAGGAUUAGAUACCCUGGUAGUCCAUGCCGUAAACGGUGGGCGCUAGGUGUGGGUUUCCUUCCACGGGAUCCGUGCCGUAGCUAACGCAUUAAGCGCCCCGCCUGGGGAGUACGGCCGCAAGGCUAAAACUCAAAGGAAUUGACGGGGGCCCGCACAAGCGGCGGAGCAUGUGGAUUAAUUCGAUGCAACGCGAAGAACCUUACCUGGGCUUGACAUAUACAGGAUCGCGCCAGAGAUGGUGUUUCCCUUGUGGCUUGUAUACAGGUGGUGCAUGGUUGUCGUCAGCUCGUGUCGUGAGAUGUUGGGUUAAGUCCCGCAACGAGCGCAACCCUUGUCUUAUGUUGCCAGCACGUUGUGGUGGGGACUCGUAAGAAACUGCCGGGGUUAACUCGGAGGAAGGUGGGGAUGACGUCAAAUCAUCAUGCCCCUUAUGUCCAGGGCUUCACACAUGCUACAAUGGUCGGUACAGUGGGUUGCCAGUCCGUGAGGGCGAGCUAAUCCCGCAAAGCCGGUCUCAGUUCGGAUCGGGGUCUGCAACUCGACCCCGUGAAGUCGGAGUCGCUAGUAAUCGCAGAUCAGCAACGCUGCGGUGAAUACGUACCCGGGCCU
RNAcentral lists this ribosomal RNA (1341 nucleotides) under uncultured bacterium. Its description in RNAcentral is "partial 16S ribosomal RNA". It matches the Rfam family "Bacterial small subunit ribosomal RNA", at positions 28 to 1381 of the family's 1533-position model. The record is from RNAcentral.